This 311-nucleotide ribosomal RNA is filed under the name uncultured eukaryote. Its description in RNAcentral is "partial 18S ribosomal RNA". It matches the Rfam family "Eukaryotic small subunit ribosomal RNA", at positions 1470 to 1796 of the family's 1831-position model. The record is from RNAcentral.
CCCCUAGACGUUCUGGGCUGCACGCGCGCUACAAUAAUACGCACAGCGAGUAUCACCGAGCUCGAAAGGGCAAGGUAAACAAUAGAAAAGGUACUGUAAUGGUUAUAGAUCCUUGUAAUUAUUGAUCUUCAACGAGGAAUUCCUAGUAAGUAUGUGUCAUCAUCACGCACUGAUUACGUCCCUGCCCUUUGUACACACCGCCCGUCGCUCCUACCGAUUGAGUGCGCCGAUGAAACUGCCGGAUGUGGACUAUUCAUAGUCUGCAGAAGAUAUUUGAAUCGUAGCGCUUAGAGGAAGGAGAAGUCGUAACA